Molecule: transfer RNA, 77 nt
Filed under: Vibrio cholerae
Lineage: Bacteria; Pseudomonadati; Pseudomonadota; Gammaproteobacteria; Vibrionales; Vibrionaceae
Description: tRNA-Arg
Rfam family: tRNA
About the family: Transfer RNA (tRNA) molecules are approximately 80 nucleotides in length. Their secondary structure includes four short double-helical elements and three loops (D, anti-codon, and T loops).
Source: RNAcentral
GCGUCCGUAGCUCAGCUGGAUAGAGUACCUGGCUACGAACCAGGCGGUCAGAGGUUCGAAUCCGCUCGGACGCGCCA